Molecule: ribosomal RNA, 252 nt
Filed under: uncultured bacterium
Lineage: Bacteria
Description: partial 16S ribosomal RNA
Rfam family: Bacterial small subunit ribosomal RNA
Source: RNAcentral
ACGGAGGGGGCUAGCGUUGUUCGGAAUUAUUGGGCGUAAAGGGCACGUAGGCGGUCAAGCAAGUUGGUGGUGAAAGCCCUCGGCUCAACCGGGGAAUUGCCCCCAAAACUGCUUGACUUGAGUCCCGGAGAGGGUGGCGGAAUUCCCAGUGUAGCGGUGAAAUGCGUAGAUAUUGGGAGGAACACCAGUGGCGAAGGCGGUCACCUGGACGGGUACUGACGCUGAGGUGCGAAAGCGUGGGGAGCAAACAGG